UCCACACAUCCUGUUAGGAAAGAAGGCAAAGAGAGGCAGGCAUCCAAACAAUUCUCCAGCCAACAUCCCUGGGCUGCCCUCCCCUCUGAACUCCGCAGCGACUUCCUCAGUUGAGUGCAGGAACCAAUUUGAGGGCCACCAGACUGUGCACCUCCUCCCCAGAGUCCUGCUUCAGGAUGCAAAGCCAGACUGCACCUGCGCCCCGCGGGGACCGAGCAGCUGCUCAGCGAUCCCGACUGCCCCGCUGCAUCAGGGCUCCUGGCCCACAGCCGAGCUUCCCGCGGCUGCUGGCCUGAGGUCCACUCCAGCCCCAGCCGCUGCCCCAGGCCGCUGCCCCGGGAGCCUUCCCUUGUUUUCAUAAAACACACGCUGCCUCUUUGGGCACAUUUGCCAGUUGCCAUGGGCGUUUUCUGUUUCGACCCAAGCAGGGAUACAGAGUCAAGUGAUUCUGAGCUGUAAAUUUGGUAUGUUGGGGACCUUCCCGCUGCUGUAGCCUUACUCUGGAGAGGCAGGCGCGAAGGCCCACUCUCUGUUCUCAGGGUUCUUCUCCAGUCGCCAGACCUUCGUGAGGUACCAGGCAAACAGAAUGUGAAGACAACAGGAAGUCGGCUGUAGAUACAGGAAGCCACUGCAAAGGCCUCAGAGAGAGACCGGUGUGGCCCACUCCUGGCAUGCGCAGGUGAGAAGAGGUUCCGCAGG
RNAcentral lists this small RNA (699 nucleotides) under Rattus norvegicus (Norway rat). RNAcentral's name for it is "uncharacterized LOC102548223". Lineage: Eukaryota; Metazoa; Chordata; Mammalia; Rodentia; Muridae. The record is from RNAcentral.